RNAcentral lists this ribosomal RNA (253 nucleotides) under uncultured bacterium. RNAcentral describes it as "partial 16S ribosomal RNA". It matches the Rfam family "Bacterial small subunit ribosomal RNA", at positions 524 to 776 of the family's 1533-position model. The record is from RNAcentral.
UACGGAGGGUGCAAGCGUUGUCCGGAUUUAUUGGGUUUAAAGGGUGCGUAGGCGGCCGAUUAAGUCAGCGGUGAAAUCCCGGGGCUCAACCCCGGAACUGCCGUUGAUACUGGUUGGCUUGAGUUCGGUCGAGGCGGGCGGAACUGGCGGUGUAGCGGUGAAAUGCAUAGAUACCGCCAAGAACCCCGAUUGCGAAGGCAGCUCGCUGGGCCGAAACUGACGCUGAGGCACGAAAGUGCGGGGAGCGAACAGG